AUUCCCCUAGUAACUGCGAGUGAAGCGGGAAAAGCUCAAAUUUAAAAUCUGGUGGUCUUUGGCCAUCCGAGUUGUAAUUUAGAGAAGCGUCUUCCGCGCUGGACCGUGCACAAGUCUCCUGGAAUGGAGCGUCAUAGAGGGUGAGAAUCCCGUCUUUGGCACGGACACACCAGGGCUUUUGUGAUGCGCUCUCAAAGAGUCGAGUUGUUUGGGAAUGCAGCUCAAAAUGGGUGGUGAACUCCAUCUAAAGCUAAAUAUUGGCGAGAGACCGAUAGCGAACAAGUACCGUGAGGGAAAGAUGAAAAGCACUUUGGAAAGAGAGUGAAACAGUACGUGAAAUUGUUGAAAGGGAAACGCUUGAAGUCAGUCGCGUCGACCGAGACUCAGCCUUGCCUCGGCUUGGUGUACUUCUCGGCCUGACGGGUCAGCAUCAAUUUUGCCCCUUGGAUAAUGGCGAGGGAAAUGUGACACCUUUACGGUGUGUUAUAGUCCCUUGUCGCAUGCAAGGGUUGGGAUUGAGGAACUCAGCACGCGCCUUUGGGUGUCGGGGCUUUGCCCACGAUACGUGCUUAGGAUGUUGGCGUAAUGGCUUUAAACGACCCGUCUUGAAACACGGACCAAGGAGUCUAACAUGCCUGCGAGUGUUCGGGUGGAAAACCCGUGCGCGCAAUGAAAGUGAAAGUUGGGACCUCUGUCGUGGAGGGCACCGACGCCCGGACCAGACCUUCUGUGACGGCUCUGCGGUGAAGCAUGUAUGUUAGGACCCGAAAGAUGGUGAACUAUGCCUGAAUAGGGUGAAGCCAGAGGAAACUCUGGUGGAGGCUCGUAGCGAUUCUGACGUGCAAAUCGAUCGUCAAAUUUGGGUAUAGGGGCGAAAGAC
RNAcentral lists this ribosomal RNA (880 nucleotides) under Russula decolorans. Its description in RNAcentral is "eukaryotic LSU rRNA". It matches the Rfam family "Eukaryotic large subunit ribosomal RNA", at positions 74 to 931 of the family's 3401-position model. The record is from RNAcentral. Lineage: Eukaryota; Fungi; Basidiomycota; Agaricomycetes; Russulales; Russulaceae.